This 465-nucleotide ribosomal RNA is filed under the name Vreelandella stevensii. RNAcentral's name for it is "partial 16S ribosomal RNA". It matches the Rfam family "Bacterial small subunit ribosomal RNA", at positions 338 to 795 of the family's 1533-position model. Lineage: Bacteria; Pseudomonadati; Pseudomonadota; Gammaproteobacteria; Oceanospirillales; Halomonadaceae. The record is from RNAcentral.
CCUACGGGUGGCAGCAGUGGGGAAUAUUGGACAAUGGGGGCAACCCUGAUCCAGCCAUGCCGCGUGUGUGAAGAAGGCCCUCGGGUUGUAAAGCACUUUCAGUGAGGAAGAACGCUUGGUGGUUAAUACCCAUCAGGAAAGACAUCACUCACAGAAGAAGCACCGGCUAACUCCGUGCCAGCAGCCGCGGUAAUACGGAGGGUGCGAGCGUUAAUCGGAAUUACUGGGCGUAAAGCGCGCGUAGGUGGCUUGAUAAGCCGGUUGUGAAAGCCCCGGGCUCAACCUGGGAACGGCAUCCGGAACUGUCAAGCUAGAGUGCAGGAGAGGAAGGUAGAAUUCCCGGUGUAGCGGUGAAAUGCGUAGAGAUCGGGAGGAAUACCAGUGGCGAAGGCGGCCUUCUGGACUGACACUGACACUGAGGUGCGAAAGCGUGGGUAGCAAACAGGAUUAGAUACCCUUGUAGUC